UGGAGCGGCAAGUACGAGGCGCACCUCUGAGACAAAACCAGCCAGGUCGAGGGCCGCAAGCGCAAGGGCAAGCACGAUUUCUGACUAUGAGAAAGAAAUCGAGAUUAUAAAGACCAUGUCUCAAGAUGAAUUUGUAGCAUACAUAAGGAGGCAAAGCAGUUGUUUCUCAAGAGGUAUUUCAUCAUACAGGGGUGUGACCAGGUGAUGUUCCUUCUUUGCUAAAUGAACUAAUAACCAUUUGGUAUCCUUUGAAUGGAGCAAAAAAAAUGUUUUGCUUAACUAGGGACAUUUGAAUGGUCUGUUGCAAUUUUGCAACUUUCUCUAAUCACUUUUUUUACCAACUGACGAAAAGACGGUAAAUGGCAAGCACGAAUUGGUAGGAUUGGUGAGAGUAGAGACACCAAAGACAUUUACCUUGGGACUUUCGACACCGAAGAAGAGGCGGCAGAAGCUUAUGACAUAGCAGCAAUUGAGCUUCGUGGUGUUCAUGCCGUUACCAACUUUGACAUUAGUAACUACUGUGAAGAUGGUUUGUGAAAACUAGAAGGCCCGUCAGAAGUGGCGAAGCUGGAAGUUCCAUCGGAGGUCAUGAAGCUCGCUGGACAAUAGACACUAGAAAUCUAGAAUAGCAACAUGUACAUAAUUUCUCCAUUUCAUUUCCUUUGUCAUAAUAUUUCACCCUCCUUUUGGUAUUCCUGUUACCUUCUUUUUUCCCCCUUCGUGAGUUUUCACCGCGCCUUGUUGUGUAAGCCAGUAUUUACUGGCUCUGAAGGACAGUGUGAUAUUGUAUUCCAGCCUCACCAAAAGGUCUUACUAACCUUUGAUGCAGAGCGAAAGUUACAAUGUCGUAGCUUGAUGGAUGGUUGUUUUUGUUUUAA
Setaria italica (foxtail millet) is the source of this 878-nucleotide long non-coding RNA. RefSeq lists it as uncharacterized. The record is from RefSeq and is a predicted model, not a curated record. The transcript is spliced from 4 exons. NCBI's taxonomy places the organism in Eukaryota, Viridiplantae, Streptophyta, Magnoliopsida, Poales, Poaceae.